This 89-nucleotide microRNA precursor is filed under the name Canis lupus familiaris (dog). Its description in RNAcentral is "mir-8799 microRNA precursor family". It matches the Rfam family "mir-8799 microRNA precursor family". RNAcentral also lists the same sequence under 1 other name. The record is from Rfam by way of RNAcentral. Lineage: Eukaryota; Metazoa; Chordata; Mammalia; Carnivora; Canidae.
GGGGCGAGGCUGGAUCCUGGGCUGUGUCCUGGCGCGCAGUGCUCCCGGCCUGCGCUGUUGGAUUCGCGCUCCCGGGCCGCGCAGGCCCU